Molecule: microRNA, 23 nt
Filed under: Drosophila melanogaster (fruit fly)
Lineage: Eukaryota; Metazoa; Arthropoda; Insecta; Diptera; Drosophilidae
Description: dme-miR-982-5p
Gene: dme-miR-982-5p
Source: miRBase by way of RNAcentral
UCCUGGACAAAUAUGAAGUAAAU